Molecule: ribosomal RNA, 301 nt
Filed under: uncultured bacterium
Lineage: Bacteria
Description: partial 16S ribosomal RNA
Rfam family: Bacterial small subunit ribosomal RNA
Source: RNAcentral
CAGCAGCCACGGUAAUACGGAGGGUGCAAGCGUUAUCCGGAUUUAUUGGGUUUAAAGGGUCCGUAGGCGGAUCUGUAAGUCAGUGGUGAAAUCUCACAGCUUAACUGUGAAACUGCCAUUGAUACUGCAGGUCUUGAGUAAAUUUGAAGUGGCUGGAAUAAGUAGUGUAGCGGUGAAAUGCAUAGAUAUUACUUAGAACACCAAUUGCGAAGGCAGGUCACUAAGAUUUAACUGACGCUGAUGGACGAAAGCGUGGGGAGCGAACAGGAUUAGAUACCCCAGUAGUCCCUGUCUCUUAUAC